RNAcentral lists this ribosomal RNA (777 nucleotides) under uncultured Neocallimastigales. Its description in RNAcentral is "partial large subunit ribosomal RNA". It matches the Rfam family "Eukaryotic large subunit ribosomal RNA", at positions 26 to 646 of the family's 3401-position model. Lineage: Eukaryota; Fungi; Neocallimastigomycota; Neocallimastigomycetes; Neocallimastigales. The record is from RNAcentral.
CGCAUCUGUGCAUGCAGCAUAUCAAUAAGCGGAGGAAAAGAAACUAACAAGGAUUCCCUUAGUAACGGCGAGUGAAGGCGGGAAGAGCUCAAAUUUGAAAUCUUCAAGGUUUUACCUUGACGAAUUGUAGUUUAAAGAAGUGUUUUCUGUUGAAGUUUUGGUAAAAGUUCUUUGGAAUAGGACAUCAUAGAGGGUGAGAAUCCCGUAUUUGACCAUUUACUUUUCAGCUUUGUGAUACACUUUCAAAGAGUCGGAUUGUUUGGGAAUGCAGUCCAAAAUGGGUGGUAAAUUUCAUCUAAAGCUAAAUAUUGGCGAGAGACCGAUAGCGAACAAGUACCGUGAGGGAAAGAUGAAAAGAACUUUGAAAAGAGAGUUAAACAGUACGUGAAAUUGUCAAAAGGGAAGCGUUUGACACCAGUGUUGUUUUUCUGAAAAUCAAUUAAAGAACUGUUUAUGCUAAGUUGUUUAGACUUUAUCAGCUAACUGUUUAGUUUUGAGCUUUUCUUUAAUGCACUUUUCAGUUAACAAGUCAACAUCAAUUUCUUUUGCUGUAAAAAAGCUUGAGGAAGGUGGCUUGAGAUUCGUCUUAAGUGUUUAUAGCCUCUUGCCUAUGCAGUCGGAGAGAUUGAGGUCUGCAGCGUAGAUCCUUCGGGGUUAAAUGCAUUUGUGCUAAGUUAUAGCAUUUUAUAGACAACUUGUUGACUAUGAUUAGUCUUGUAGCUUACUCGCUUAUGCUAUUUUACCUACGCUUAGGAUGUUGAUGUGAUACUGCGAGCA